RNAcentral lists this ribosomal RNA (482 nucleotides) under uncultured bacterium. RNAcentral's name for it is "bacterial SSU rRNA". It matches the Rfam family "Bacterial small subunit ribosomal RNA", at positions 29 to 507 of the family's 1533-position model. The record is from RNAcentral.
AUGAACGCUAGCGGCAGGCCUAACACAUGCAAGUCGAGGGGCAGCACAGGUAGCAAUACUGGGUGGCGACCGGCGGAUGGGUGCGUAACGCGUAUGCAACCUACCAUUGAUUGGGGCAUAGCCCGAAGAAAUUCGGAUUAAUACUCCAUAAUAUUCAUCAAAGGCAUCUUUUAUGAAUUAAAGCUUUUGCGAUCAAUGAUGGGCAUGCGUGACAUUAGUUAGUUGGUGAGGUAACGGCUCACCAAAACGAUGAUGUCUAGGGGUUCUGAGAGGAUUAUCCCCCACACUGGUACUGAGACACGGACCAGACUCCUACGGGAGGCAGCAGUGAGGAAUAUUGGUCAAUGGACGCAAGUCUGAGCCAGCCAUGCCGCGUGCAGGAUGACGGCCCUAUGGGUUGUAAACUGCUUUUCCACGGGAAGAACCCUCCGACGUGUCGGAGACUGACGGUACCGUGGGAAUAAGCAUCGGCUAACUCCGUG